This is a long non-coding RNA of Onychostoma macrolepis, 880 nucleotides long. RefSeq lists it as uncharacterized. The record is from RefSeq and is a predicted model, not a curated record. The transcript has 4 exons. NCBI's taxonomy places the organism in Eukaryota, Metazoa, Chordata, Actinopteri, Cypriniformes, Cyprinidae.
GAGAUGAUGGAGCAGAGCCGCGCGACUCUAAACACUUCUCCUGACAGACGCUUCUUCUACAGAAAGAUCUGCGGUUAAUCCUGAGGAGAUUUCGGCGGACACAGUUCUCAAGAGGAGUACUUCAGCUGCUAAAAGGAGUCGGACCGCGCUGGUGUCGCAAUAGCGUCUGUCUGCGGACUGCAAGAGAGGGGCGUAACUUGAAGUUGUCCAAAUCACACAGAACUACGCGAGAUGUCAAAACGAGAUGUUGUUGGCAAGAUGGCCGCUUGUAUAGAGACAAGGGACAGAAGAGUCACGUGUGUUUAUCCGCUGAAAAGUGACUGAUGAAGCAAUGCUGCCAUCAAAGCCUCUCAUUGAGUACACUACUGACAUCAAUAAAACAGCUUUUAAAUCUUAAGUUGUAGUUUAUUUUAAUUAUUGUAAUUUCAAACAGAGCUAUUACAGCACUUUUCUGAUUCUUGAUUCUUGUGCAUUUGCUGCAGAUCUUCUGUGGUGGAGCAGGACCUGCAAGGCAAGGUGACAGCGGCAUUUGUGGAAAAAAAAGGGUAAACCUCAAACAAAAGGAUAAAGUAGUCGUGCUCAUGGAGAGCAGACACAGCGGCAGCCAGAUUGUCCUGCACAUGUUCUCCUGCUCUUGUCUCAAGGUUGUGUGGUUCAGGGGUGUCAUCAUGGUCUUCCUCAUCCUCUGGCUCAACAAUGUCCUCAUUGAGAAGAGCAAGAUUGUGAAGCACAGCGCAGCUGCAGAAUUGACACAUCUGUGUUGAGGUGGCAGUAGGAUGUGGGGUUCACCAUCUGUAAAUACAUGAUUGUUAGAACAAUACGUUUGAUCGAAGCUUUGUUUCAUCUGUUGUUGACUUGUGUAUAUAUAUAUGUAUUUAUU